UUGAAUCAUCAGCAUCUGAAAAUGAACGCAAAUGCAUUCAUGGCAUUCUGGCUUCGUGGAGCCAUCAUGGUAAAACACAAACAAAGAUUGUUUUGGCCAUGCUUGUGAAUAGUGGUACAUAUUAAUUUGAAUUGUUUCUUAGCACAAAGUUUUCUUCAAAUCAUUACAAAAGCCUAUUUUAUUUGGUUGAAGUGUCCAAUUUGGGAUGUCAAUGAUUACCCAUCCAUCCCAGGACCCUAACACACCCACAAGAAAGAAAUAAAAAGGAAAAUGAAAAUGAAAGAACAAGGAAACACAUGCAAUGUGCCGCAGAACUGACAUAUUUUUCGUUGGGCUGGCCAAUGCGUGAUGAUGGAGAAUUUUUCAACUCAAUCUGUGAAGCUGUUAAGGUGAACUUUAAAUCUUGUUGGAUACAUGCAUUUCAAUAAAAUAUGGACCACAAAGGUUUCAAAUAAUAUCAUGCUUAAUAAUUUCCCAAUUUGUUUUUAAAAAAGAAUUAAAGCCAUUGAUUCCUUGGCCAUUAUUGUAUGAACUGUUAACAUGGCUUGGUUAAUUUACAAAAUCUUUUUUGACUACUUGUAAUUUAGCAUGAACACCAUGUUUACAUAAAGGAUUUCUUUUUGCAAUUGAUGUUCUAGAUUGAGAUGAUGACGAAGGAGAAUACAUGUUAAAUAUCAAAUUACUUUAGAGAUUAAAAUGAAAAUGGAAAAAAAAAUUUAGAUGUUGGAAGAAGUAAUUAAAUUGGAAGAGCAAAGUGAGCAAAAGAUGAAGAAGAGGCUACUGAAAAAAGGCUGUCUAAAUAUCCAUUAAAAUGAUGAAGAAAUGGGGAAUUUACCGUUUCUCCAGGUAAAGAACCGGUCAGGUAUGCCAACGGGAAAUAUGUAUCUAUCAAAGUUCGUAUUAUUCAUGGUUAAUUGAAAGUUCGUAUUAUUAUAGGAAAAUCAGUGAAAGUUCGUAUUAUUCAGAGUAAUUUUUCCUGAAUUAUAUCGGUCUCUUGAUCAUUUUGUCUUGAUCAAUUUUUCGCGCAAUUAGUUUAUGUAUUAACUAUUUACUGAGAUGUUGCAAUUUCGAAACCUAGGAUCUAGUGAUAUUUGGAGAAAUUGUGCUUAUUUCCAGAUUUGAAACUAAUACUGCAAGUCUGCAAUGCAAAGAAUGGAAGUGGUUAGUAGAAUUAAUUGAGGUCAAUCAAUACAGCUGACGAAUUGUUGCUGGAAAAGAGAAAAAUGGCGCUUAUUUUAUAUAUCAUCAUUGCAUUGCCGUGUACGAUUGGAGCGUUUGCCUCGCAAUUUUUCACAUAUACCGUCAUCUUGUAAAUUACACUGAACCUACUUUCCAGAGAUAUAUUGUCCGUGUCAUUUUCAUGGUUCCGGUUUAUGCAUUGAUGUCUUUCUUGGCCUUCAUAAUGCGGGAUAGAGCGAUAUAUUUCAAUUCUCUAAGAGAAAUGUCUUUUUCAAUGCUGCAUAAAGUUUGGGUAGACAAAAGAUCAAGGUUUCUUUGUCACUAAUUCUAUAUGACCUAUGUCCACUACUUCUCUCGAAUGUGUGAAGUGUAGGUAUAUGAAAAUGUAUACUAUAUUAUCAUACAAAUGGUCGAAGAUAUGUUGAAAUUGAGUCGGUUACUUGUGAUUGUUUUAGAAAGAUAUGAUGAUUAGGGUCAAUUGGUUGCAUGUGUCCUUUCACUAGUGGAAAAAACGUAUCUGUUGCGUGACAUUUACUGCGGUUUUUAGCAAACGCACUAUUAAAUAGCGUAUAAAAAUUAGGAUAUGAGAAAUAAAGAUUAAAUGCUGCGGUUUCUUGAUGCCCGCAGCAAAAAAGUGGUUAUAUGCUGCGGUUUUAUGUGGCCCGCAGCAAAUAAGUGCUUACAUGCUGUGGUUUUAUAUGGCCCGCAACAAUUAAGUUCUCAUAAAUUAAACCCCGCCUUUUAGCGUUCCAUUUUCAUAAAACCUUAUAGUACUGUUGCAUAAACUCACGAAAACACAAACGGUUUCAUCGUCUUCUUCCUUCAAGCUUCAAAUUUUCUUCAAACCCACAAAAUUUCAUCAUCUUCAUCUUCAUCUUGCUAUUGUCUUCACACACGCCUUUAACUUGAUGCUGUAAUCAUCUUGGUACUGUCUUCGUUUCAUUUCUUUAAGGCUCCAUUGUUUGCUUAAAAAACCCACGAAAAAAAUUGCUUCUUCUUCACUGUCUUCAUUCUUCUUCAUUUGCUUUAAAACCCCACGAAAGAGGUCAAGGUAUUUUGUUUGGUUUUUGUUUUUUGUUUCUUUUUUUUUUUGAGAAAUGGUUACAAUUACUAAUUUUGUUUUUCUUGUU
Molecule: long non-coding RNA, 2309 nt
Organism: Amaranthus tricolor (Joseph's coat)
Lineage: Eukaryota; Viridiplantae; Streptophyta; Magnoliopsida; Caryophyllales; Amaranthaceae
Exons: 5
Source: RefSeq, a predicted model, not a curated record